RNAcentral lists this transfer RNA (75 nucleotides) under Rhodobacterales bacterium LSUCC0031. RNAcentral's name for it is "tRNA-Thr". It matches the Rfam family "tRNA". Rfam says of the family: Transfer RNA (tRNA) molecules are approximately 80 nucleotides in length. Their secondary structure includes four short double-helical elements and three loops (D, anti-codon, and T loops). Lineage: Bacteria; Pseudomonadati; Pseudomonadota; Alphaproteobacteria; Rhodobacterales. The record is from RNAcentral.
GCCGUAGUAGCUCAGUGGCAGAGCGCACCCUUGGUAAGGGUGAGGUCGGGAGUUCAAUCCUCCCCUACGGCACCA